CAUCAGAUGACUGAAAUGUAAGUAAUGGUCUCUUAAACCAAUUUAUAGUAACCAACAAUUACUUCUGAUGA
Molecule: transfer RNA, 71 nt
Filed under: Cardiodactylus muiri
Lineage: Eukaryota; Metazoa; Arthropoda; Insecta; Orthoptera; Gryllidae
Description: tRNA-Lys
Source: RNAcentral